This 391-nucleotide ribosomal RNA is filed under the name uncultured bacterium. Its description in RNAcentral is "bacterial SSU rRNA". It matches the Rfam family "Bacterial small subunit ribosomal RNA", at positions 29 to 420 of the family's 1533-position model. The record is from RNAcentral.
AUUAAACGCUGGCGGCAUGCCUUACACAUGCAAGUCGAACGGCAGCACGGGGGCAACCCUGGUGGCGAGUGGCGGACGGGUGAGUAAAGCAUCGGAACGUAUCCUGGAGUGGGGGAUAACGUAGCGAAAGUUACGCUAAUACCGCAUAUUCUGUGAGCAGGAAAGCAGGGGAUCGCAAGACCUUGCGCUCUGGGAGCGGCCGAUGUCGGAUUAGCUAGUUGGUGGGGUAAAGGCCUACCAAGGCGACGAUCCGUAGCGGGUCUGAGAGGAUGAUCCGCCACACUGGGACUGAGACACGGCCCAGACUCCUACGGGAGGCAGCAGUGGGGAAUUUUGGGACAAUGGGCGCAAGCCUGAUCCAGCCAUGCCGCGUGAGUGAAGAAGGCCUCGG